ACCGCGAUGGUUCAGGUGGCAGAGCAUCUGCGCGGUAUGCGGAGGGUCGCCGGUUCGAUUCCGGCUCGCGGUU
Molecule: transfer RNA, 73 nt
Filed under: Fasciola gigantica
Lineage: Eukaryota; Metazoa; Platyhelminthes; Trematoda; Plagiorchiida; Fasciolidae
Rfam family: tRNA
About the family: Transfer RNA (tRNA) molecules are approximately 80 nucleotides in length. Their secondary structure includes four short double-helical elements and three loops (D, anti-codon, and T loops).
Source: Rfam by way of RNAcentral